Molecule: ribosomal RNA, 420 nt
Filed under: uncultured bacterium
Lineage: Bacteria
Description: bacterial SSU rRNA
Rfam family: Bacterial small subunit ribosomal RNA
Source: RNAcentral
UAAGGAAUAUUGCUCAAUGGGCGAAAUCCUGAAGCAGCAACGCCGCGUGGAGGAUGAAGGGUCUAUGACUUGUAAACUCCUGUAAAGAAGGAAAAAAUUCCCAUUUGAUGGGAGAUGAUGGUACUUCUGGAGUAAGCCCCGGCUAACUACGUGCCAGCAGCCGCGGUAAUACGUAGGGGGCAAGCGUUGUCCGGAUUUACGGGGUGUAAAGGGUGCUCAGGCGGAUUUGUAAGUCAGAGGUGAAAUCUUACAGCUUAACUGUGAAACUGCCUUUGAUACUGCAAGCCUAGAGUAUGGAAGAGAGUGAUGGAAUAUCUGGUGUAGCAGUGAAAUGCGUAGAUAUCAGAUAGAACACCAAUGGCGAAGGCAGUCACUUGGUCCAUUACUGACGCUAAAGCACGAAAGCGUGGGUAGCAAACA